CUACGUGCCAGCAGCCGCGGUAAUACGUAGGUCCCGAGCGUUGUCCGGAUUUAUUGGGCGUAAAGCGAGCGCAGGCGGUUAGAUAAGUCUGAAGUUAAAGGCUGUGGCUUAACCAUAGUACGCUUUGGAAACUGUUUAACUUGAGUGCAAGAGGGGAGAGUGGAAUUCCAUGUGUAGCGGUGAAAUGCGUAGAUAUAUGGAGGAACACCGGUGGCGAAAGCGGCUCUCUGGCUUGUAACUGACGCUGAGGCUCGAAAGCGUGGGGAGCAAACAGGAUUAGAUACCCUGGUAGUCCGCACAGUAAACGAUGGAUGCCCGCUGUUAGCGCCUGGCGUUAGCGGCUAAGCGAAAGCAUUAAGCAUCCCACCUGGGGAGUACGCCGGCAACGGUGAAACUCAAAGGAAUUGACGGGGGCCCGCACAAGCGGAGGAACAUGUGGUUUAAUUCGAUGAUACGCGAGGAACCUUACCCGGGCU
This 476-nucleotide ribosomal RNA is filed under the name uncultured bacterium. RNAcentral's name for it is "bacterial SSU rRNA". It matches the Rfam family "Bacterial small subunit ribosomal RNA", at positions 501 to 981 of the family's 1533-position model. The record is from RNAcentral.